GACGAACGCUGGCGGCGUGCUUAACACAUGCAAGUCGAACGGAAAGGCCCUGCUUUUGUGGGGUGCUCGAGUGGCGAACGGGUGAGUAACACGUGAGUAACCUGCCCUUGACUUUGGGAUAACUUCAGGAAACUGGGGCUAAUACCGGAUAGGAGCUCCUGCUGCAUGGUGGGGGUUGGAAAGUUUCGGCGGUUGGGGAUGGACUCGCGGCUUAUCAGCUUGUUGGUGGGGUAGUGGCUUACCAAGGCUUUGACGGGUAGCCGGCCUGAGAGGGUCACCGGCCACAUUGGGACUGAGAUACGGCCCAGACUCCUACGGGAGGCAGCAGUGGGGAAUAUUGCAAAAUGGGCGGAAGCCUGAUGCAGCAACGCCGCGUGCGGGAUGACGGCCUUCGGGUUGUAAACCGCUUUCGCCUGUGACGAAGCGUGAGUGACGGUAAUGGGUAAAGAAGCACCGGCUAACUACGUG
RNAcentral lists this ribosomal RNA (468 nucleotides) under uncultured bacterium. RNAcentral describes it as "partial 16S ribosomal RNA". It matches the Rfam family "Bacterial small subunit ribosomal RNA", at positions 28 to 507 of the family's 1533-position model. The record is from RNAcentral.